Protobothrops mucrosquamatus (brown spotted pit viper) is the source of this 410-nucleotide non-coding RNA. Lineage: Eukaryota; Metazoa; Chordata; Lepidosauria; Squamata; Viperidae. The record is from the annotation of a RefSeq genome assembly.
CUUUUUUUUUGCCCUCAGAAGGAAAGUGCAUCAGAGUUUGCAUCAUGUUCUGGGCUCCCUUCCUUCUCUCGUUGUUCGUGCACUCCUCAGGAUCCUUUGCUCAGUAUGUCCUGACCCAGCCGUCAUCCGUGUCUGUCUCCCUGGGACAGAAUGAAAGGAUCACUUGUUCAGGAAGUGACAUUGGAGAAAAGAAUGUUCACUGGUACCAGCAGAAACCUGGGAAUCCUCCUGUUCUGAUUAUAUAUGCUGAUAGCAGCAGGCCUACGGGGAUCUCAGAUCGAUUCUCGGGCACCAACUCUGGCAACACGGCCACCCUAAGCAUCUCCAGGGCCCAGGCUCAGGACGAGGCCGACUAUUACUGCCAGGUGUGGGACAGUAGCCAGUGCACAGUGAUACAAAUUAAGGGGGAA